Molecule: ribosomal RNA, 460 nt
Filed under: uncultured bacterium
Lineage: Bacteria
Description: partial 16S ribosomal RNA
Rfam family: Bacterial small subunit ribosomal RNA
Source: RNAcentral
CCUACGGGAGGCAGCAGUGAGGAAUAUUGGUCAAUGGGCUUACGCCUGAACCAGCCAAGUCGCGUGAGGGAAGACUGCCCUAUGGGUUGUAAACCUCUUUUGUCAGGGAGCAACGCCGGCUACGUGUAGCCGGACUGAGAGUACCCGAAGAAAAAGCAUCGGCUAACUACGUGCCAGCAGCCGCGGUAAUACGGAGGAUGCGAGCGUUAUCCGGAGUUAUUGGGUGUAAAGGGUGCGUAGGCGGAAUGCCAAGUCAGCGGUAAAAUCGCGGGGCUCAACCUCGCUCCGCCGUUGAAACUGGCGUUCUUGAGUGGGCGAGAAGUAUGCGGAAUGCGUGGUGUAGCGGUGAAAUGCAUAGAUAUCACGCAGAACUCCGAUUGCGAAGGCAGCAUACCGGCGCCCAACUGACGCUGAAGCACGAAAGCGUGGGUAUCGAACAGGAUUAGAUACCCUUGUAGUC